AACGAACGCUGGCGGCAUGCCUAACACAUGCAAGUCGAACGAGACCUUCGGGUCUAGUGGCGCACGGGUGCGUAACGCGUGGGAACCUGCCCUUAGGUUCGGAAUAACUCCCCGAAAGGGGUGCUAAUACCGGAUAAUGUCUUCGGACCAAAGAUUUAUCGCCUUUGGAUGGGCCCGCGUUGGAUUAGCUAGUUGGUAGGGUAAAAGCCUACCAAGGCGACGAUCCAUAGCUGGUCUGAGAGGAUGAUCAGCCACACUGGGACUGAGACACGGCGCAGACUCCUACGGGAGGCAGCAGUGGGGAAUAUUGGACAAUGGGCGAAAGCCUGAUCCAGCAAUGCCGCGUGAGUGAUGAAGGCCUUAGGGUUGUAAAGCUCUUUUACCCGGGAUGAUAAUGACAGUACCGGGAGAAUAAGCUCCGGCUAACUCCGUG
Molecule: ribosomal RNA, 433 nt
Filed under: uncultured bacterium
Lineage: Bacteria
Description: partial 16S ribosomal RNA
Rfam family: Bacterial small subunit ribosomal RNA
Source: RNAcentral